RNAcentral lists this transfer RNA (77 nucleotides) under Candidatus Peregrinibacteria bacterium. RNAcentral's name for it is "tRNA-Cys". It matches the Rfam family "tRNA". Rfam says of the family: Transfer RNA (tRNA) molecules are approximately 80 nucleotides in length. Their secondary structure includes four short double-helical elements and three loops (D, anti-codon, and T loops). The record is from RNAcentral. Lineage: Bacteria; Candidatus Peregrinibacteriota.
GGUACCGUGGUGAAGUGGCUUAACACGGCUGUUUGCAAAACAGUUAUUCGCCGGUUCGAAUCCGGCCGGUACCUCCA